GGUUGGCCUCGUAAAAAGCCGCAAAAAAUAGUCGCAAACGACGAAAACUACGCUUUAGCAGCUUAAUAACCUGCUCUGUGCCCUCUCUCCCUAGCUUCCGCUCUUAAGACGGGGAUCAAAGAGAGGUCAAACCCAAAAGAGAUCGCGUGGAUGCCCUGCCUGGGGUUGAAGCGUUAAAUCUAAUCAGGCUAGUUUGUUAGUGGCGUGUCUGUCCGCAGCUGGCAAGCGAAUGUAAAGACUGACUAAGCAUGUAGUGCCGAGGAUGUAGGAAUUUCGGACGCGGGUUCAACUCCCGCCAGCUCCACCA
This 307-nucleotide transfer-messenger RNA is filed under the name Klebsiella quasipneumoniae. Its description in RNAcentral is "partial transfer-messenger RNA". It matches the Rfam family "transfer-messenger RNA", at positions 59 to 374 of the family's 374-position model. Rfam says of the family: Bacterial tmRNA, also known as 10Sa RNA or SsrA, is named for its dual tRNA and mRNA-like properties. Its role is to liberate the mRNA from a stalled ribosome. The record is from RNAcentral. Lineage: Bacteria; Pseudomonadati; Pseudomonadota; Gammaproteobacteria; Enterobacterales; Enterobacteriaceae.